CGGAGGGUGCAAGCGUUAUCCGGAUUCACUGGGUUUAAAGGGUGCGUAGGUGGGCAGGUAAGUCAGUGGUGAAAUCCUUGAGCUUAACUCGAGAACUGCCAUUGAUACUAUCUGUCUUGAAUGUUGUGGAGGUGAGCGGAAUAUGUCAUGUAGCGGUGAAAUGCUUAGACAUGACAUAGAACAUCUAUUGCGAAGGCAGCUCACUACGCAAAUAUUGACACUGAGGCACGAAAGCGUGGGGAUCAAACAGGAUUAGAUACCCUGGUAGUCCACGCCCUAAACGAUGGAUACUCGACAUACGCGAUACACAGUGUGUGUCUGAGCGAAAGCAUUAAGUAUCCCACCUGGGAAGUACGACCGCAAGGUUG
RNAcentral lists this ribosomal RNA (368 nucleotides) under uncultured organism. RNAcentral's name for it is "bacterial SSU rRNA". It matches the Rfam family "Bacterial small subunit ribosomal RNA", at positions 526 to 896 of the family's 1533-position model. The record is from RNAcentral.